GUCCCAUCUGGGUCGCCA
This 18-nucleotide non-coding RNA is filed under the name Xenopus tropicalis (tropical clawed frog). RNAcentral also lists the same sequence under 2 other names. Lineage: Eukaryota; Metazoa; Chordata; Amphibia; Anura; Pipidae. The record is from RNAcentral.